AGGAGAGCGCGGCGGCCGGGGUGGUAGUGGCAGUGUUCAUGUGCUCGGGUCUGAAUCGCCGAGGGAGGAGGCGGUCGAGGAAGAGGUGGCGGCUGUGGCGGUGGUAGUAGCCGUGGCAGAGGAGGCGGGUACGAAUCAGCUGCGGGCGGAGACAUGGCCAACAUCGCGUGCAGCGAAUCAAGCGGGAGUUCAAGGAGGUGCUGAAGAGCGAGGAGACGAGCAAAAUCAAAUUAAAGUAGAUCUUGUAGAUGAGAAUUUUACAGAAUUAAGAGGAGAAAUAGCAGGACCUCCAGACACACCAUAUGAAGGAGAAAGAUAUCAACUAGAGAUAAAAAUACCAGAAACAUACCCAUUUAAUCCCCUUAAGGUCUGGUUUAUCACUAAAAUAUGGCAUCCUAAUAUUAGUUCCGUCACAGGGGCUAUUUGUUUGGAUAUCCUGAAAGAUCAAUGGGCAGCUGCAAUGACUCUCCGCAGGGUACUAUUGUCAUUGCAAGCGCUAUUGGCAGCUGCAGAACCAGAUGAUCCACAGGAUGCCGUAGUAGCAAAUCAGUACAAACAAAAUCCCGAAAUGUUCAAACAGACAGCUCGACUUUGGGCACAUGUGUAUGCUGGAGCACCAGUUUUUUAGUCCAGAAUACACCAAAAAAAUAGAAAACCUAUGUGCUAUGGGCUUUGAUAGGAAUGCAGUAAUAGUGGCCUUGUCUUCAAAAUCAUGGGAUGUAGAGACUGCAACAGAAUUGCUUCUGAGUAACUGAGGCAUAAAGAGCUGCUGAUAUAGUCAAGCUUGCCUCUUCUGGAGGAGCACCAACAUCUGUUAUUUUUAGGAUUCUGCAUAGAUUUCUUCUAAACUGGCAUUCUUGCCUAAUGAUGUUAUCUAGGCACCAUUGGAGACUGAAAAAAAAAAAAUCCCUGCUCUGUAAAUAAAGCUAAUUAAACGUCUGUGUAAAUUUAAAAAGGGGAAAUACUUUAAUUUUUUUUCUUAAUAGUGUAAAAAUUCCUUGAGCUAAGCUAAAACCAUGGAAGAAACAUGCUACUUUAGUGUUUAGCAGUGUACCAAGACUAGCAAGAGUUUGCUUCAGGAUUUUGUUGAAUAAUUAAGAUAAUAUUUUGAGUGUGUCAGGGCCAUUCAAAUUGUUGGUGUUGCAUCACAGCUACCUUAACUGUUUUAACAUGGAUCCUCUGUGCCUGUGAAUUUACUUGCAUGCUUGUACUUGACUUCUUAGGAUGGGUAGCUGGAAAGACCACCAUUUUAAGCAUUUGAGAAUUCUUAAAUAGGAGAUUAACUCAGAAUUGAAGAUGGUGACCUAUUCAGAGCCAUUUUGUCCUUGUCAAUAGACUGGGACCUAAUGUCUUUCCCCUCCCCCCUUAACACACACAGCUAAUAUUCUAAUGGUAAAUUUCUCUGUAUUUGGUGAGGAAAUGUGCUGAGGGACAUUGUGUAUCCCUUGCUUCAUUUUUAGGUUGUAGGUUUGAAAUGUUUUGUCCCAGUUCCUCAAAUACUCUUACAUUUUCCUAAUGUAAAAAUGGAACUGCCAAUUUUAUUUCUCUUGUAAAAAUAGUAAAUACUUGAUGUUACAUUAUUCUCAGGUUUAAUGAAAGAACCCAACUUAGUUUUUCAAUGAAUUUGACACUUAUUUUUAAAAUGAUGACAUUUUUCUUUGAGAACUGGCAAGGAUGCAGUCAACUGUUUCCAAUAAUUUUUAGCCUGAUUUUGGAGUCUAUAGGGAUUGCUUUAUUGGAUAACUUCAAGUCAUUCUUGCUUGCACUUCCCAUAUUGACACAUGAAAGCUGUGUUGGUGUUUUAUUGUACAUACUUCAGAUGCACAUAGGAAUAGAAGUGUGAUAUAAAUCUAGCUUUCUUUAUGAUGUUUCUGAUAAUAUGAGAAUUUAAAACUUUACCUUCUCUUGUACAUAGACUAUUUGUAUUAAAUUUACAUUUCAUUCUAA
This is an RNA transcript of Cebus imitator (Panamanian white-faced capuchin), 1947 nucleotides long. It is a transcript of the gene named ubiquitin-conjugating enzyme E2 K-like, with no coding region annotated. The transcript has a single exon. The record is from RefSeq and is a predicted model, not a curated record. NCBI's taxonomy places the organism in Eukaryota, Metazoa, Chordata, Mammalia, Primates, Cebidae.